Rattus norvegicus (Norway rat) is the source of this 342-nucleotide long non-coding RNA. RefSeq lists it as uncharacterized. The record is from RefSeq and is a predicted model, not a curated record. NCBI's taxonomy places the organism in Eukaryota, Metazoa, Chordata, Mammalia, Rodentia, Muridae.
CUCCUCCAGGGCCUGGAGGACCUCCUUCACCUCGUCUUUAGCCGCCUCGUUUUCAAUCUGGAGGCGGGUCAGCUCCUCCUGGAUUUUCUCGUAGUCCCUUCUGGUGGAAGCUAGAAGCUGGGGAAAUGAGGAGGCCAGGGAAAAAUGUUGCCGUUUGAACAGUGACAAAAGGAAUUGAUCCGAGGCAGCUGAACCACUCUGAGAGAUGCAAAGAACAGUGUGGAAGCCACAACAGACAACAUAAGCAGUGCCUCAAGCACAGCUGAGAGAGGAACCUAUUCCAUAGGGUUCCCAUGACUCCAAAGGCACAGACUGCCUCCCCGCAGAAUCACAGUCAUUACG